This 253-nucleotide ribosomal RNA is filed under the name uncultured bacterium. RNAcentral describes it as "partial 16S ribosomal RNA". It matches the Rfam family "Bacterial small subunit ribosomal RNA", at positions 524 to 776 of the family's 1533-position model. The record is from RNAcentral.
UACGGAGGAUGCGAGCGUUAUCCGGAUUUAUUGGGCGUAAAGGGAACGCAGGCGGUCUUUUAAGUCUGAUGUGAAAGCCUUCGGCUUAACCGAAGAAGUGCAUCGGAAACCGGGCGACUUGAGUGCAGAAGAGGACAGUGGAACUCCAUGUGUAGCGGUGGAAUGCGUAGAUAUAUGGAAGAACACCAGUGGCGAAGGCGGCUGUCUGGUCUGCAACUGACGCUGAGGCUCGAAAGCAUGGGUAGCGAACAGG